This 73-nucleotide transfer RNA is filed under the name Patescibacteria group bacterium. Its description in RNAcentral is "tRNA-Val". It matches the Rfam family "tRNA". From Rfam's summary of the family: Transfer RNA (tRNA) molecules are approximately 80 nucleotides in length. Their secondary structure includes four short double-helical elements and three loops (D, anti-codon, and T loops). The record is from RNAcentral.
GGCCGCGUAGCUCAGUUGGUAGAGCAAUUGGCUUACAUCCAAUAGGUCACAGGUUCGAGUCCUGUCGCGGCUA